RNAcentral lists this ribosomal RNA (253 nucleotides) under uncultured bacterium. RNAcentral describes it as "partial 16S ribosomal RNA". It matches the Rfam family "Bacterial small subunit ribosomal RNA", at positions 524 to 776 of the family's 1533-position model. The record is from RNAcentral.
UACGUAGGGGGCAAGCAUUAAUCGGAAUUAUUGGGCGUAAAGGGCGCGUAGGCGGAGAUGUAAGUCAGAUGUGAAAUCCCGGGGCUCAACCCCGGAACAGCAUUUGAAACUGCGUUUCUAGAGGGUAGGCGGAGAAAACGGAAUUCCACAAGUAGCGGUGAAAUGCGUAGAUAUGUGGAAGAACACCAGUGGCGAAGGAGGUUUUCGAGCUUAUACUUGACGAUAAAGCGCGAAAGCAUGGGGAGCAAACAGG